Molecule: ribosomal RNA, 765 nt
Filed under: uncultured archaeon
Lineage: Archaea
Description: bacterial SSU rRNA
Rfam family: Archaeal small subunit ribosomal RNA
Source: RNAcentral
GGGAUCGCUAGCCAUGCGAGUCGAGAGGGUUCGGCCCUCGGCGAACUGCUCAGUAACACGUGGAUAAUUUGCCCUUAGGUGGAGGAUAACCUCGGGAAACUGAGAAUAAUACUCCAUAGAUCUAGGAUGCUGGAAUGCACUUAGAUUAAAAGCUCCGGCACCUAAGGAUAAGUCUACGGACUAUCAGGUUGUAGUCAGGGUAAAGACCUGACUAGCCUACAACGGAUACGGGUUGUGAGAGCAAUAACCCGGAGACGAUAUCUGAGACACGAUAUCGGGCCCUACGGGGCGCAGCAGGCGCGAAAUCUUCACAAUGUGCGAAAGCACGAUGAGGGGAUCCCAAGUGCUGGCACGUAAGUGUCAGCUGUUUCUUAGUCUAAAAAACUGAGAGAGUAAGGGCUGGGUAAGACGGGUGCCAGCCGCCGCGGUAAUACCUGCAGCUCAAGUGGUGGCCGCUAUUAUUGGGCCUAAAACGUCCGUAGCCUGUUUAGUAAAUGCUUGGGUAAAUUGUGUAGCUUAACUAUACGAAUACCGGGUAGACUGCUAAACUUGGGACCGGGAGAGGCUAGAGGUACUCCUGGGGUAGAGGUGAAAUUCUGUAAUCCUAGGGGGACCACCAGUGGCGAAGGCGUCUAGCUAGAACGGGUCUGACGGUGAGGGACGAAGCCCUGGGGCGCAAACCGGAUUAGAUACCCGGGUAGUCCAGGGUGUAAACGCUGCUUGCUUGAUGUUAGUUGGGCUCCGAGCCCACUAGUGUCGGAGAGA